RNAcentral lists this unclassified non-coding RNA (1738 nucleotides) under Leishmania donovani. Its description in RNAcentral is "gene:LdHU3.24.1140(CDS-product:Rab-GTPase-TBC_dom ain_containing_protein_putative)". Lineage: Eukaryota; Euglenozoa; Kinetoplastea; Trypanosomatida; Trypanosomatidae. The record is from RNAcentral.
CUCGGAUGAGUCGCCCACGACGGUUCUCGCCGCUCGUGCACUCGCCCCGUGGGGUGUACGUCCAGUCGCCCCUGGCGGGCGAACCCGAGGUGGGCAUGGCGAAUGACGGUCGCAUAUUCGAGGAGCUCCUUGACGCCGAAGUCGCAGUGAACAUGGAAAAGCUUCGGGAGGCGUCGCGCAUGGGCAUUCCGCCGGCCUACCGCGGUGUUGUCUACCGCUACCUUCUCGGGGUCGCCUUCACCGACAAGUCCAGCGAGAUGACGAUGGAAGAGUUGCAGGACAAGGACUUCCAGCUCUUGAACACGGCCUACACCCGCAUGUUGGGAAACGGGGACGAGGACGACGACCGCGGCGGCGCUGGCGGCGGGGGUCACAGCGGCAGCCACAGCACUGGCGGUAGCGUGGCGGCCCUACACACCAUCAGGGAACUGCUGACCUUCUCGACAUCAUCCGCGGUGGCGGCCGUGAGCGCGACGGAGGGAAGCGGUCCACUGCACUGCAGCAGCGGCUUCCGCGGCAUAGGUAGCGGCGACGCAGGGGGCGGUACCGGUGGUGGCAGCAGCGGUGCAGGAACGGUGGCGACGCCUUUUGUGUACCGCGGUCCGUCAGCUGUCCCGGCCCUUGGCCCCUCGGCCACUCUCGCCGCCUGGGAAGAGUGCGUGACGGCGCUGCGGUACUGUGAGCCGUACAACGCGGACGCGCGUCAGUGGGCGAGGAUGGAGUCCGCACUGGCCGCGCUGCAGAUGAUGUACUGCAACGUCUCUGUCGAUCACGUGCAGCUGAUCGUGCUGCUGGCGCGCCAACUCGACCGGGUCGCCAGCUCGGCGCGCGACACCUUCUUCACUGUCCACGCCCUCUUUGAUGUGCUGACACAGGACGGCAACAUUCUGCACGACGCUCACACGCUGCAGACGCACUGCGGCAACUUCCUCAUGCUCUUCCGCUCCGUGUUGCUCCCGCUCUAUGAGCACUUCACAGUGGAGGGGCUGACCACGUGGGAGUGGAUCCCAAGCUUGCUGACGUGCUUCUUCGUGGGCCGCAUGCACCCCGACGACGUGUUCGCGCUGUGGGACUACUACCUCGCGGAUAUGAGCGAGCACCAGGCGAUGGCGCUGCACCCGUACGCCUGCCUGGCGAUGCUCUCGUCCAUGACGGAGGUGCUCAUCGAGGCCGGCAAGAUUGAGCUUCUCUACUGCCUAGAGCACCUACCUCGUCUCGACACGGCGGCCAUCAUGCGCAAGGCGGUACUGAUUCGAGAGUCCGUGUAUUCCAAGGAGUUGCUCUGCGGAUGAUGCGGCCGCCACUGUGGCUGCCACUACCACCGCUGCGGCCGGUUUACAACGAUGGUCGACUACGCACAAAGAGGGAGAGAGCGAAGGCUGCGGAUGUGCCUGGUGGGACGUCACAGGGCAUUCGUGUCGUCGAAGGCCCGGUUGGGAAGCGUGCGUGUAUGAUGAGGGCGGCGGCAGCUGCUGCAACGCCCUUCAGCGCGCUUCAUCUCCGUUGACUUGACAUUCACUGCACGUUGUUGGCCUCUACUGCUGUAGCGUCUGUCUGUCCGUCCCUCGCUGUGCUCCCUCUAGCUGAGCCCCACACCCCCUACUUCUACGGCCUCGUCCUUGCCUUGCGUGCUGCGCCUCACACGACUCUCUCCUUCUGUCUGCUCUGGACCUUUUCAUGAAGCGGUGUUUGGUGAUGUAGACACGGCCUCGAUGACGCCAUGCAUCGCCUUUCGCAG